AUUGAACGCUGGCGGCAGGCCUAACACAUGCAAGUCGAGCGGCAGCGGAAAGUAGCUUGCUACUUUGCCGGCGAGCGGCGGACGGGUGAGUAAUAUCUGGGAAACUGCCUGAUGGAGGGGGAUAACUACUGGAAACGGUAGCUAAUACCGCACAACGUCGCAAGACCAAAGAGGGGGACCUUCGGGCCUCUUGCCAUCGGAUGUGCCCAGAUGGGAUUAGCUAGUAGGUGGGGUAACGGCUCACCUAGGCGACGAUCCCUAGCUGGUCUGAGAGGAUGACCAGCCACACUGGAACUGAGACACGGUCCAGACUCCUACGGGAGGCAGCAGUGGGGAAUAUUGCACAAUGGGCGCAAGCCUGAUGCAGCCAUGCCGCGUGUAUGAAGAAGGCCUUCGGGUUGUAAAGUACUUUCAGCGGGGAGGAAGGCGAUAAGGUUAAUAACCUUGUCGAUUGACGUUACCCGCAGAAGAAGCACCGGCUAACUCCGUGCCAGCAGCCGCGGUAA
Molecule: ribosomal RNA, 506 nt
Filed under: uncultured bacterium
Lineage: Bacteria
Description: partial 16S ribosomal RNA
Rfam family: Bacterial small subunit ribosomal RNA
Source: RNAcentral